This 487-nucleotide ribosomal RNA is filed under the name uncultured bacterium. RNAcentral's name for it is "bacterial SSU rRNA". It matches the Rfam family "Bacterial small subunit ribosomal RNA", at positions 26 to 507 of the family's 1533-position model. The record is from RNAcentral.
AGGAUGAACGCUAGCGGCAGGCUUAAUACAUGCAAGUCGUGGGGCAGCAUGAGUAGCAAUACUUGAUGGACGACCGGCAAACGGGUGAGGAACACGUACACAACCUUCCUUCAAGCGGGGAAUAGCCCAGAGAAAUUUGGAUUAAUACCCCAUAAUAUAUUGAUAAGGCAUCUUAUUAAUAUUAAAGCUUCGGCACUUGAUGAUGGGUGUGCGGCUGAUUAGAUAGUUGGCGGGGUAACGGCCCACCAAGUCUACGAUCAGUAGCUGAUGUGAGAGCAUGAUCAGCCACACGGGCACUGAGACACGGGCCCGACUCCUACGGGAGGCAGCAGUAAGGAAUAUUGGACAAUGGACGAAAGUCUGAUCCAGCCAUGCCGCGUGAAGGAUUAAGGUCCUCUGGAUUGUAAACUUCUUUUAUAUGGGACGAAAAAAGGGCAUUCUUGUUCACUUGACGGUACCAUAUGAAUAAGCACCGGCUAACUCCGUG